RNAcentral lists this ribosomal RNA (327 nucleotides) under Triticum aestivum (bread wheat). RNAcentral's name for it is "partial small subunit ribosomal RNA". The record is from RNAcentral. Lineage: Eukaryota; Viridiplantae; Streptophyta; Magnoliopsida; Poales; Poaceae.
AUGGCCGACUACGAAAGCCAGGCAGCAAAGAUACGCAGGCCGAGGGUGAAGCCGGCGGGGUGCUUUAGAUGGGAUGCGCUUGGAUGGGGCAGAGAGCUAAAGGAGGACGUGGUACAUAUCAGGAGCAGUUGUGGUGCCUACAUAUGUGUACCCCGUUGUUUUCUCCAAGCCCAUAAAAUAUGUAGCAAUUCAUAUUGGGUCUUCUUUAUUCACGGUAAGAUAGCCGAAUAUACCUCUGGUCAAUUUUAUAUUGUUCACAUGUAUUUACUUUAUUCAACUGAUGAUCGGGUCUUAUUUUAUUUGUGUUCUUCAAUCGUAGACUCGUAG